UUGAUCCUGGCUCAGGAUGAACGUUUGCGGCGUGCUUAACACAUGCAAGUUGAACGAAGCUCUUUGGCCUGAUUCCUUCGGGAAGAUGAUCAUUGAGACUGAGUGGCGAACGGGUGAGUAACACGUGAGCAACCCCCCCCUGACAGCGGAAUAACAACGGGAAACCGUUGCUAAUACCGCAUGAAAUCUCUGUAUGGCAUCAUACUAAGAUCAAAGAUUUAUCGGUCAGGGACGGGCUCGCGUCCGAUUAGGUAGUUGGUAAGGUAACGGCUCACCAAAGCAACGAUCAGUAGCCGGCCUGAGAGGGUGAACGGCCACACUGGAACUGAGACACGGUCCAGACUCCUACGGGAGGCAGCAGUGGGGAAUAUUGCACAAUGGGGGAAACCCUGAUGCAGCAACGCCGCGUGAGCGAUGAAGGUUUUCGAAUCGUAAAGCUCUGUCCUAAGGGAAGAUAAUGACGGUACCUUAGGAGGAAGCCCCGGCUAACUACGUGCCAGCAGCCGCGGUAACACGUAGGGGGCAAGCGUUAUCCGGAAUUAUUGGGCGUAAAGGGUGCGUAGGCGGCCCUAUGGGUCAGAGGUUAAAUGCUACGGCUUAACCGUAGCAUGCCUUUGAAACUAUAGGGCUUGAGUGCAGGAGAGGAGAGUGGAAUUCCUAGUGUAGCGGUGAAAUGCGUAGAUAUUAGGAGGAAUACCAGUGGCGAAGGCGACUCUCUGGACUGCAACUGACGCUAAGGCACGAAAGCGUGGGUAGCGAACAGGAUUAGAUACCCUGGUAGUCCACGCCGUAAACGAUGAGUGCUAGGUGUUGGGGGUCAAACCUCGGUGCCGCAGUUAACGCAUUAAGCACUCCGCCUGGGGAGUACGUUCGCAAGAAUAAAACUCAAAGGAAUUGACGGGGACCCGCACAAGCAGCGGAGCAUGUGGUUUAAUUCGAAGCAACGCGAAGAACCUUACCUGGAUUUGACAUCCCUCUGACCGUUUCUUAACCGAAAAAUUACCUUCGGGUACAGAGGAGACAGGUGGUGCAUGGUUGUCGUCAGCUCGUGUCGUGAGAUGUUGGGUUAAGUCCCGCAACGAGCGCAACCCUUGUCUUUAGUUGCCAACAGGUAAAGCUGAGCACUCUAAAGAGACUGCCAAGGUAAACUUGGAGGAAGGUGGGGAUGACGUCAAAUCAUCAUGCCCCUUAUGUUCAGGGCUACACACGUGCUACAAUGGCCGAUACAACGGGCAGCAAAGGAGCAAUCCGGAGCAAAUCCUACAAAAUCGGUCCCAGUUCGGAUUGUGGGCUGAAAUUCGCCCACAUGAAGUCGGAGUUGCUAGUAAUCGUGAAUCAGAAUGUCGCGGUGAAUGCGUUCCCGGGUCUUGUACUCACCGCCCGUCAA
This 1387-nucleotide ribosomal RNA is filed under the name uncultured bacterium. RNAcentral's name for it is "bacterial SSU rRNA". It matches the Rfam family "Bacterial small subunit ribosomal RNA". The record is from RNAcentral.